RNAcentral lists this ribosomal RNA (423 nucleotides) under uncultured bacterium. RNAcentral's name for it is "partial 16S ribosomal RNA". It matches the Rfam family "Bacterial small subunit ribosomal RNA", at positions 359 to 774 of the family's 1533-position model. The record is from RNAcentral.
GAAUUUUGGACAAUGGGCGAAAGCCUGAUCCAGCCAUGCCGCGUGUGUGAAGAAGGUCUUCGGAUUGUAAAGCACAUUAAGGUGGGAGGAAGGGCAGUAAGCGACUACGUUGCUGUCUUGACGUUACUGACAAAAUAAGAACAGGCUAACUCUGUGCCCGCAGCCGCGGUAAGAACGAGGGUGAAAGCGUUAAUCGGAAUGACUGGGCGUAAAGCGCGCGUAGGUGGUGCGUUAAGUUGGAUGUUAAAUCCCCGGGCUCAACCUGGGAACUGCAUCCAAAACGGGCGAGCUAGAGUAGGGCAGAGGGUGGUGGAAUUUCCUGUGUAGCGUUGAAAUGCGUAGAUAUAGGAAGGAACACCAGUGGCGAAGGCGACCACCUGGGCUCAUACUGACACUGAGGUGCGAAAGCGUGGGGAGCAAACA